Symphalangus syndactylus (siamang) is the source of this 1991-nucleotide long non-coding RNA. RefSeq lists it as uncharacterized. NCBI's taxonomy places the organism in Eukaryota, Metazoa, Chordata, Mammalia, Primates, Hylobatidae. The record is from RefSeq and is a predicted model, not a curated record.
GAGGCCAGGCUGGAGGCACAUUCUCGUCUCCACCCCUGGACGCUUCCAGAGUGGUUUGCCCUAACUGCCACCACCACCACCUCCUCAGCUCCUAGGAUGCCCUUGACUUUUUGCCAUUGGGUCACACUCCCCUGCUAACAGGCCAAAUCCAGAUGCUUUUCUGACCGCGUGGCCCAGAGCCUCUGGCAGUGCAGCUUCGGGCUGUCCUGACAACACCCCUGCCCCCUGCACCUCUGCAUCUUCCUCCUUGCCCCAAGACAAUCCUGUUCCCUGGAUCCCAUUUGUGGCCCACUCCCUUCCACGACCCACACAUUAUACUGCUAGGAUAUACCAGCGCCCCCGUGAUCCGAGUCGAAUUCCUUCUUCUGAGGAGCCAAGAGUUGUGGUUGCUGAAGACCCAUCCGGAUUCACUGCCAGUGACUUGGACACCUUCCACUGCUAACACUAUUAACUGGGACACCUUCCACUGCUAACACAAUAACACUUGGUUAUUGUGUUUAUUUGGAGAAGUCUCACUCUGUUGCUCGGAAUGGAGUGCAGUGGCAGGAUCUCAGCUUGCUGGAAACUUCACCUCCUGACUUCAAGCAAUUCUUCGGCCUCGGCCUCCUGAGUAGCUGGGAUUACAGACAUGCACCACCACGCCUGCCAUUUUUUUUUUUUUUUUUUUUUGAGAUGGAGUCUUGUUCUGUCGCCCAGGCUGGGGUGCAGUGGCACCAUCUUGGUUCACUGCAAGCUCCACCUCCCGGGUUCACGCCAUUCUCCUGCCUCAGCUUCCCGAGUAGCUGGGACCACAGGCGCCCGCCACUAUGCCCGGCUAAUUUUUUGUAUUUUUAGUAGAGACGGGGUUUCACCGUGUUAGCCAGGAUGGUCUCGAUCUCCUGACCUCGUGAUCCGCCCACCUCGGCCUCCCAGUAAUUUUUGUAUUUUUAGUAGAGAUGGGUUUUCACCAUGUUGCCCAGGCUGGUCUUGAACUCCUGACCUCAAGUGAUUCGCCCACCUCGGCCUCCUAAAGGGUUGGGAUUAGAGGUGUGAGGCACUGUGCCCGGCCAACUUCUCGCAUUUUCUUUCUUUUCUUUUCUUCUUUUUUUUUUUUUUUUUUUUUUUAGAUGGUGUCUUACUCUGUUGCCCAGGCUUGAGGGCAGUGGCAUGAUCUCAGCUCACUGCAACCUCCACCUCCUGGAUUCAAGUGAUCCUCCCACCUUAGCCUCCCAAGUAGCCGGAAUUACAGGUGCAUGCCACCACGCUAGCUAAUUUUUGUAUUUUUUAGUAGAGAUGGGGUAUCACCAUGUUGGCCAGGCUGGUCUUGAGCUCCUGACCUCAAAUGAUGUGCCCAACUCGGCCUCCCAAAGUGCUGGGAUUACAGACAUGAGCCACCCUGCCUGGCCUUCACAUUUUCUUUAGAUUAUUUCUUAGAAUGUCUACCUCUCUGUUCCCAUUAUCAGUCUGUAAUCUCAUGUUGUCUACUUUUUCCAUUAGCGCACUUAGCGUAUUAAUCAUAGUUGUAUUCCAUUUCUUGGUCUGAUAAUUCCAACAUCUCUGCCUAUUUAAGUCUGGCUCUGAUGUUUGCUGUGUCUUCAAACUGUGUUUUUUUUUAUUAUGCCUUGCAAGUUUUUGUUGAGGGCUGGUCGUGCUCAACCAGUAAGAGGUAAAUGGACUUUCUGUGUGAAGUUUUAUGUAGGUCUGGUUAGGGGUUGGGCCAUGUGUGCUGUUUGUUAACCGGAGGUGUCAGAGCCUUAAACCUCCUCUAGUGUCUUAGUUUUUGUCUCUCUGUUGUCUUUACGGUUUCCUAGAGAUUUCUCGAAUAAGCUCUGAGAUGAGCAGUUCUUUCACUUGUAUCCCCUGUUAUUAUUACAGGAGCCCCGUUGAUGUGGCAGUAAGAUGUGGGGAAGGGGAGCCAGAGCAGGCUGGGGUUAGCUACGUUCCCUUCCUCCAGGUUUGUUGGUAUCUGGCAAAAUUACGAUUGGCCUGGCUGUGAUUUUUUUUUUUUUUUU